This 253-nucleotide ribosomal RNA is filed under the name uncultured bacterium. Its description in RNAcentral is "partial 16S ribosomal RNA". It matches the Rfam family "Bacterial small subunit ribosomal RNA", at positions 524 to 776 of the family's 1533-position model. The record is from RNAcentral.
UACGAAGGGGGCUAGCGUUGUUCGGAAUUACUGGGCGUAAAGCGCGCGUAGGCGGAUCGGUCAGUUAGGGGUGAAAUCCCGGGGCUCAACCCCGGAACUGCCUCUAAUACUGCCGAUCUAGAGUUCGAGAGAGGUGAGUGGAAUUCCGAGUGUAGAGGUGAAAUUCGUAGAUAUUCGGAGGAACACCAGUGGCGAAGGCGGCUCACUGGCUCGAUACUGACGCUGAGGUGCGAAAGCGUGGGGAGCAAACAGG